UACGUAGGUGGCAAGCGUUGUCCGGAUUUACUGGGCGUAAAGGGCGUGCAGGCGGUUUGUUAAGUCUAGGGUGAAAGCUCCCGGCUCAACUGGGAGAGGUCCUUGGAUACUGGCGAACUUGAGGGAUGCAGAGGAAAGUGGAAUUCCCGGUGUAGUGGUGAUAUGCGUAGAUAUCGGGAGGAACACCAGUGGCGAAGGCGGCUGUCUGGGCAUUUCCUGACGCUGAGACGCGAAAGCGUGGGGAGCGAACCGG
This 253-nucleotide ribosomal RNA is filed under the name uncultured bacterium. Its description in RNAcentral is "partial 16S ribosomal RNA". It matches the Rfam family "Bacterial small subunit ribosomal RNA", at positions 524 to 776 of the family's 1533-position model. The record is from RNAcentral.